Non-coding RNA from Peromyscus maniculatus bairdii (prairie deer mouse), 385 nucleotides. The record is from RefSeq and is a predicted model, not a curated record. NCBI's taxonomy places the organism in Eukaryota, Metazoa, Chordata, Mammalia, Rodentia, Cricetidae.
GAGAAGCGAGGAGACACACAGCGGCAUCCCAGCUGACUCUCCUAUGCCCUGGUUCAGCAGAGCACAAUGCAGGAUCUCUACCUGAACCCAGAGCUCCCUGAUUCAUCUGGGCUGACUGACCAGCAUGGCCCAAUGGCCCUCCUGUCUCUACCUCCCAGGACUAGGAUUGCAGGUUCACCCAGCCCCAGUCUUACCUCCCCUACUGACUGCAGCAGUGGUCGUUACGAAACAGCUGUGGCACUAUCCAACGGAGUGCUGCAUACACCUACAGUCUUCACUUGCUCUCUUUCAACUUGGGAUUCAUUUUGGGAAUGGUGCCUUUUCUAUUUAUGUCUUAGGAGUCUCUCGUGGUCUGACGUGCUACCAGGGAUGUCCGCCUUUUAGA